This 433-nucleotide ribosomal RNA is filed under the name uncultured bacterium. RNAcentral describes it as "partial 16S ribosomal RNA". It matches the Rfam family "Bacterial small subunit ribosomal RNA", at positions 29 to 507 of the family's 1533-position model. The record is from RNAcentral.
AACGAACGCUGGCGGCAUGCCUAACACAUGCAAGUCGAACGAGCCCUUCGGGUCUAGUGGCGCACGGGUGCGUAACGCGUGGGAACCUGCCCUUAGGUUCGGAAUAACUCCCCGAAAGGGGUGCUAAUACCGGAUCAUGUCUUCGGACCAAAGAUUUAUCGCCUUUGGAUGGGCCCGCGUUGGAUUAGCUAGUUGGUAGGGUAAAAGCCUACCAAGGCGACGAUCCAUAGCUGGUCUGAGAGGAUGAUCAGCCACACUGGGACUGAGACACGGCCCAGACUCCUACGGGAGGCAGCAGUGGGGAAUAUUGGACAAUGGGCGAAAGCCUGAUCCAGCAAUGCCGCGUGAGUGAUGAAGGCCUUAGGGUUGUAAAGCUCUUUUACCCGGGAUGAUAAUGACAGUACCGGGAGAAUAAGCUCCGGCUAACUCCGUG